UGUUAAUUUUUGUAUAUGGUGUAAUAUAACUGUCCAACUUCUUCCUUUUGUAUGUGGAUAUCCAGUUGGCCAAACACUAUUUGUUGAAGAGACUAUGUUUCACCAUUGGGAGGUAUUGACAUCCUUGUUGAAAAUAACUUGAUCAUCAUAUACAUGAUGAUUUGUUUCUGGCUCUCUAGUCUUCUCCACUGGUAUAUGUAUCUGUCUUCAUGUUGAUGCCAUGCUGUUCUGAUGAGUGUACAGCAAUUUUCUAGCAAAUUUUGAAAUCAGGGUGUGAGUUCUCCACUUUUUUUUGUUUUGCAGAUUGUUCUUAGUUUUUGGUGGACUUUGAAAUUCCUUUGAGUUUUAGGAUGAUGUUUUCUACUUCUGCAAGAAACAUCAUUGGUAUUUUAAUAGGGUUUGCACUGAACCUGAAGAUAGCUUUGGGUACUGCUGACAUCUUACCAUGAUGAGAGAACAGAGGUUUCCAAGAACAGGCACUUCUUGAACCAUAUCUCCUUGUGCACUUUGCUAAGGACCUGCUCCGGGACCAGUGCUUCUUCCAGGGCUUUCCUGGGGCUGCUGCAAGUGGCAUCCAUAAUGCCUAGAAAUACCCGAAUCCGGAGGAGGGGCAAGAUGGCGGAAGAGCAGGGUCCCCAAAUCGCCUGUCCCCACCAAAUUACCUAGAUAACCUUCAAACAAUCCUGAAAAUUUACGAAUUCGGCCUGAGAUGUAAAGAGACCAGCUGGAAUGCUACAGUGAGAAGAGUCCGCGCUUCUAUCAAGGUAGGAAGACGGGGAAAAAGAAAUAAAGGAACAAAAGGCCUCCGAGGGGGAGGGGCCCCGCGAGGAGCCGGGCUGAGGCCAGGGCGAGUGUCCCCAGGACAGGAGAGCCCCAUCCCGGAGGAGCAGGAGCAGCACCAACCUUCCCGGUCGGGAAGGGGCCCGCAGGGAGUUAGAGCAGGACCCAGGAGGGCGGGGAUGCCCUCGGGCUCCCGGGGACACUAACAGACACCUGCGAGCACAGGAGAGUGCUCGGAGCUCCCUAAGGGCUGCAGCGCGCACGGCGGACCGACCGGAGCAGCUCGGAGAGGCUCCGGAGCAGCUCGGAGCAGCUCGGAGGGGCUCGGGAGCGGCUCCAGGGAGGGAGCUGCAGGGCGGGAGCGUGAAUCCAACAGCGCAGGCCCCGGAGCACAGGGCGCCGGGACACAGCCCAGGAUCCGGCCUCCCCCGGGACAGGCAGAGGCCGGGAGGGCCUAGGACAGCAAGGACGCUCCUGCCCCGAGCUGAGCAGAUCAGCGGCCCCGCCCCGGAGCCUCCAGGCCCUGCGAACAGAGAACCGAGAGCCCGAGCCCCGAGAGCCCGAGCCCCGAGAGCCCGAGCCCCGUAGUUCCUGCGGAGGCUAAAUCCAGGCUUCCAGAGUUGCCAUAGCAACUGCUGCUGUUCCUCCUGGGGCCCCACGGGGUAAACAACCCCCGCUGAGCCCGGCAGCAGGCAGGGGCAGAGCAGCUCCCCCAAGUGCUAACACCUGAAAAUCAGCACAGCAGGCCCCUCCCCCAGAAGACCAGCUGGACGGACCAGUGAUACUGCCCCGUGUUCCAAUACAACUUGUUUUUGGCCACUCUGCACUGAGCAAAAUGACUAGAAGGAAAACCUCACCUCAAAAGAAAGAAUCAGAAACAGCCCUCUCUCCCACAGAGUUACAAAAUCUGGAUUACACUUCAAUGUCAGAAAGCCAAUUCAGAAGCACUAUUCUACAGCUACUGGUGGCUCUAGAAAAAAGCAUUAAGGACUCACGAGACUUCAUGACUGCAGAAUUUAGAUCCAAUCAGGCAGAAAUUAAAAAUCAAUUGAAUGAGAUGCAAUCCAAACUAGAAGUCCUAACGACGAGGGUUAACGAGGUGGAAGAACGAGUGAGUGACAUAGAAGACAAGUUAAUGGCAAAGAGGGAAACUGAGGAAAAAAGAGACAAUCAAUUAAGGGACCAUGAAGACAGAUUAAGGCAAAUAAAUGACAGUCUAAGGAAGAAAAACCUACGUUUAAUUGGGGUUCCCGAAGGCGCCGAAAGGGCCAGAGGGCCAGAAUAUGUAUUUGAACAAAUCCUAGCUGAAAACUUUCCCAAUCUGGGAAGGGAAACAGGCAUUCAGA
Long non-coding RNA from Nyctereutes procyonoides (raccoon dog), 2126 nucleotides. RefSeq lists it as uncharacterized. The transcript is spliced from 3 exons. Lineage: Eukaryota; Metazoa; Chordata; Mammalia; Carnivora; Canidae. The record is from RefSeq and is a predicted model, not a curated record.